RNAcentral lists this ribosomal RNA (470 nucleotides) under Pandoraea sputorum. Its description in RNAcentral is "bacterial SSU rRNA". It matches the Rfam family "Bacterial small subunit ribosomal RNA", at positions 20 to 483 of the family's 1533-position model. The record is from RNAcentral. Lineage: Bacteria; Pseudomonadati; Pseudomonadota; Betaproteobacteria; Burkholderiales; Burkholderiaceae.
UGGCUCAGAUUGAACGCUGGCGGCAUGCCUUACACAUGCAAGUCGAACGGCAGCACGGGUGCUUGCACCUGGUGGCGAGUGGCGAACGGGUGAGUAAUAUAUCGGAACGUACCUUGUAGUGGGGGAUAGCUCGGCGAAAGCCGGAUUAAUACCGCAUACGCUCUGAGGAGGAAAGCGGGGGACCUUCGGGCCUCGCGCUACAAGAGCGGCCGAUAUCAGAUUAGCUAGUUGGUGGGGUAAAAGCUUACCAAGGCGACGAUCUGUAGCUGGUCUGAGAGGACGACCAGCCACACUGGGACUGAGACACGGCCCAGACUCCUACGGGAGGCAGCAGUGGGGAAUUUUGGACAAUGGGCGAAAGCCUGAUCCAGCAAUGCCGCGUGUGUGAAGAAGGCCUUCGGGUUGUAAAGCACUUUUGUCCGGAAAGAAAUCCUCUGGGUUAAUACCUCGGGGGGAUGACGGUACCGAAG